Molecule: ribosomal RNA, 472 nt
Filed under: uncultured organism
Description: partial 16S ribosomal RNA
Rfam family: Bacterial small subunit ribosomal RNA
Source: RNAcentral
CACUCCUGCGGGAGGCAGCAGUGGGGAAUUUUGGACAAUGGGCGAAAGCCUGAUCCAGCAAUGCCGCGUGUGUGAAGAAGGCCUUCGGGUUGUAAAGCACUUUUGUCCGGAAAGAAAUCCUUGGCUCUAAUACAGUCGAGGGAUGACGGUACCGGAAGAAUAAGCACCGGCUAACUACGUGCCAGCAGCCGCGGUAAUACGUAGGGUGCGAGCGUUAAUCGGAAUUACUGGGCGUAAAGCGUGCGCAGGCGGUUUGCUAAGACCGAUGUGAAAUCCCCGGGCUCAACCUGGGAACUGCAUUGGUGACUGGCAGGCUAGAGUAUGGCAGAGGGGGGUAGAAUUCCACGUGUAGCAGUGAAAUGCGUAGAGAUGUGGAGGAAUACCGAUGGCGAAGGCAGCCCCCUGGGCCAAUACUGACGCUCAUGCACGAAAGCGUGGGGAGCAAACAGGAUUAGAAACCCGGGUAGUCCCA